RNAcentral lists this small RNA (504 nucleotides) under Pongo abelii (Sumatran orangutan). RNAcentral describes it as "retained intron". Lineage: Eukaryota; Metazoa; Chordata; Mammalia; Primates; Hominidae. The record is from RNAcentral.
AGAAUGUGGUUCAAAAUCGAUCCCGAGCCUAAGUGCUCUCUUAACGAGAAGUACAAUUUUCAACUAAAUGCAGAACUCCUGUAAGAUUGAGCUUCACUCUGGAACCAAAAUUAAGAUGAGUGAAACAACAAAAAGUAUAGUACUAGCAUAGCUGGUAGGCUAUGGCAUAGAGAUGUCCGCUCUAAUUUUACUAAAGGUUGUCCCACUUGUGUUCUAAAGUUUAUUCUUCAAAGUGAGUUUAAUCUAACAAUGGCUUUUGUGGCUCAUGGGUUCUUUCAGAUUGUUGCUAUGGCUUGUAUUAAUCUUGCAUCAAAAAUCGAAGAAGCACCUAGAAGAAUAAGAGAUGUGAUUAAUGUAUUCCACCACCUCCGCCAGUUAAGAGGAAAAAGGACUCCAAGCCCCCUGAUCCUUGAUCAGAACUACAUUAACACCAAAAAUCAAGUUAUCAAAGCAGAGAGGAGGGUGCUAAAGGAGUUGGGAUUUUGUGUUCAUGUCAAGCAUCCU